UAUUGGACAAUGGGGGGAACACUGAUCCAGCGACGGCGCGUGAGUGAAUAAGUAUUUCGGAAUGUAAAGCUCUAUCAGCAGGGAAGAAAGAAAUGACGGUACCUGACUAAGAAGCACCGGCUAACUACGUGCCAGCAGCCGCGGUAAUACGUAGGGGGCAAGCGUUAUCCGGAUUUACUGGGUGUAAAGGGAGCGUAGACGGCGAUGCAAGUCUGAAGUGAAAGGCGGGGGCCCAACCCCCGGACUGCUUUGGAAACUGUAUGGCUGGAGUGCAGGAGAGGUAAGUGGAAUUCCUAGUGUAGCGGUGAAAUGCGUAGAUAUUAGGAGGAACACCAGUGGCGAAGGCGGCUUACUGGACUGUAACUGACGUUAAGGAUCGAAAGCGUGGGGAGCAAACAG
RNAcentral lists this ribosomal RNA (399 nucleotides) under uncultured bacterium. RNAcentral describes it as "bacterial SSU rRNA". It matches the Rfam family "Bacterial small subunit ribosomal RNA", at positions 362 to 775 of the family's 1533-position model. The record is from RNAcentral.